RNAcentral lists this ribosomal RNA (551 nucleotides) under uncultured bacterium. RNAcentral describes it as "bacterial SSU rRNA". It matches the Rfam family "Bacterial small subunit ribosomal RNA", at positions 775 to 1327 of the family's 1533-position model. The record is from RNAcentral.
AGAAAAUAGAUACCCAGGUAGUCCACGCCCUAAACGAUGUCAACUGGUUGUUGGGAAUUCAUUUUCUCAGUAAACGAAAGCUAAACGCGUGAAGUUGACCGCCUGGGGAGUACGGCCGCAAGGCUAAAACUCAAAGGAAUUGACGGGGACCCGCACAAGCGGUGGAUGAUGUGGUUUAAUUCGAUGCAACGCGAAAAACCUUAACCCACCUUUGACAUGUACGGAACUUGCCAGAGAUGGCUUGGUGCCCGAAAGGGAGCCGUAACACAGGUGCUGCAUGGCUGUCGUCAGCUCGUGUCGUGAGAUGUUGGGUUAAGUCCCGCAACGAGCGCAACCCUUGCCAUUAGUUGCUACGAAAGGGCACUCUAAUGGGACUGCCGGUGACAAACCGGGGGAAGGUGGGAUGACGUCAAGUCCUCAUGGCCCUUAUAGGUGGGGCUACACACGUCAUACAAUGGCUGGUACAGAGGGUUGCCAACCCGCGAGGGGAGCUAAUCCCACAAAGCCAGUCGUAGUCCGGAUCGCAGUCUGCAACUCGACUGCGUGAAGUC